UACGUAGGGUGCAAGCGUUAAUCGGAAUUACUGGGCGUAAAGCGUGCGCAGGCGGUUCGCUAAGACCGAUGUGAAAUCCCCGGGCUUAACCUGGGAACUGCAUUUGUGACUGCAUGGCUGGAGUGCGGCAGAGGGGGAUGGAAUUCCGCGUGUAGCAGUGAAAUGCGUAGAGAUCCGGAGGAACCCCAGAGGCGAAGGCGGCCCCCUGGCUCGUACCUGACGCUCAGCCACGAAAGCAUGGGGAGCGAACGGG
This 253-nucleotide ribosomal RNA is filed under the name uncultured bacterium. RNAcentral describes it as "partial 16S ribosomal RNA". It matches the Rfam family "Bacterial small subunit ribosomal RNA", at positions 524 to 776 of the family's 1533-position model. The record is from RNAcentral.